GGUCGCUGGAAAUUCUUAACAGUGCUGCCUCCUCCAGGGAUCACAACAGGCUUGAUCACACUGGCCACCCGCUUUGUCAUCAGUACCAUCCUUCCUUAUGUUUCAUAAUACUUCUCAUCAGAGGGGCUCCAGCAGCUGCGAGAAGGCAUCCCAUCACCGAUGUUCCAAGAUAUCCUGGCUUACAAAGCUCUCCAUGUGCUGUUUGGCAUCAAAAACAUUCUGCCUCCUUUUCUUUUUUUCUUUCAUACUCCACUAUGGAAUAUGGAAUGUUUUCUUUCUGUGAGGAUAGAGCAAGGACUGGCUUCUUGACAUAGGAAAUUGACUAUAAACAAGAAAAACAUCUGCUGAAGUCAUGAGGUGCUAUUUUUCAGUAUUCAGGAUCAAGGAACCCUAAAGCUAUAACAAUUCUAUAAUUCUAUAAUGUUAAAGAUUUCUCCUUAACAGAUGGUAGUCAUUACAAGUUACUGCAGGGCAUAACUCUUCAAAGGCUAAGAUGAAAAUUUGUCCCAUGCAAAAAAGAGAAGAGAUUUGAUGAAGAAAAGGCAGGGUCAAGUGAUUUUUAAAUCGUGUUAGAAUUCUCCAACUCUUUUGAAAGUUCUAUUUUCUCAUAAUUAGUUUUAGAAAGGUGACUUAGUCAUAAAUUUUACAUCAUAAAAAUCACUGGGCUUCAGAAAUGUAAUAGCUACAUGUCUUUACUGAAUUCAAAAUAAUCCCAUAACUCUUGUCAAAUGCUUUUAGAAUUUAUUAUCACUAAAAGGAUAAUGGUUUAUGCUAUUUCUGUAUACAAAAUGCUUCAAAUUAAAUAUAUCAUGUAGUGACAUGGUCCAAAACAAUUGUCAGUGUCAUGCACAUAUUGGGCUCAUUAAUUCAUUUGUUCAUUAAUUCAUUCCUUCUACAAGUAUAUAUUGAGCAUCUUUUAUAAUCCCAGGCAUUGUUCUAGGUGCUGAAGAUACGAUUAUGAACAAAAGAAACAAAAGUCUCUUUUUUCAUAGAGCAUACCACCACUCUGGAAACACAUGCAUACAGACACACACAGACACACAUGCUAGUGUUAAAUGAAGGAAUAAGAUACUUUUGGAGUUGCACAGUGUGGUAAACAGACUUUAAGGUGGCUCCAAAGAUUCCUACCUCCUGGUAUUCAUGCCUUUGUGUAAUCUUCUCCCCUUGAGUGUGGGCAGGACCUGUGGCUUUCUUUUAAGCAAUCUAAUGUAACAAAGAUAAUGGAAUGUAGGUGAUCCUAUGUCCUUAUUAGAAUCUCCCUCCCUCUUUCCCUCUCUCUUUUUCUCUCUCUCUCUGUCUGUUGUUCAAUCUCAUUUUCUAUCUCUCUCUCUCUCUGGCUUUGAAGAGGCAAGCUGUCAUGAAUCUUAUAGCCUCAGGAGAAAGAAUGCUGCCAAUGACCUAAGGGAACUUGGGAGCUUAUCCUUCCCCAGUUGAGCCUCUGAUGAGAACUCAGUCCUGGUUGACACCUUGAUUGCAGCUUUGUGAGACACUAAGCAAAGGACCCAGGUAAGCCAUACAUAGAUUUCUGACCCACAGAAACUGUGAGAUAAUAAAUACCUAUUGUUGUAAGUUGCAAAGUUUGUAGUUGGUUAUAUGGCAGAGAAAAAUAUUAGAAACAGAAUUGUCGUCAUGCUUUUGGGCCAUAGAGAUAACUAACCCUCUAAAAUAAAACACCUCAAAGGAAUUUCUAGAUAAUUAGGCUAUGUCUUCUGUGAAGGAAUAUUUUUAAGAGUAUUACAUCAUUGGGUCAAAUAUUAUUUUGUGUUAACAUAUUUAGCACACAAGUACUUAUGGCCUGUACUAAUCUGAUGGACUGGGCCAACCAUAUAGGACCAGCCUUGUCUUUACCAAAUGGACUAAUUUAUAAACAAGCCCAUGCUAGUCCCAUUUUUGCUCGCAUACAAUAAACCAGGACAAUGGGCUCACUUAAAUGACUUAAGUAUAAUUGUGCUUAAUCUGUGUAGACCAAUUUACCAAGAACUUUUACUAAACUUAUAUCAUGUAACCUCAUACUAAGUCAGUGAGAGGAGAAUUUUCCUCAGCUUUUCAAGGAAACUGAGGCUGAGAGAAGUAACAAACUGCAUAGUUAAUAAGUGACAGGUGUGACUGAAGCCACCAAAUGUCAUCAGAAAAUAAUGCAUGGCUCAUUUCAUUCCACCAUGGCUAUGACAGGUACCUGUAUAGGAAAUUAACUGCUCUGUGCUUGCAGUUUGCCCUGAGCCAACUGAGCCUAUCAGAGCAGACUCUGAGCUGAAGCAGCUCCCUCCUCACUUUUUUACAGGAAAUGUAAGCCAGCAUCAAUACUUUCUUUUCCAUCAGAAACAGCUAUAAGCAGCAUCCGAACAAAAGGGAAUGAACAAAACGGAAUAUAUUCUCCUUAGAGUAACUAAGAUAGUAAAAAACAUUAGCUAUAUUAGAGGCACUGUGCCAGGUACUGGGAAUAGAAAAACGGGUAAGAACUCGCCUCUCCUCCUUCCACCACCAUCACUAAGAGCUAUUAGUGUGGGAGACAGAACUUACAUCAUUUCAGCUUGAUCCGUUCAGUCCUGAGAGAGGGGUCUGACUGCAAGACCACUAUGGUACCGCAGUGGACCAAUGGCUCUACCCUUGGCUUUCAGAGAAGUUUUCUGAGAGGAGAAGGAGCCUUAAUGGAGGUCUGCAAAGCCAAGUAAAGUUUUAAUUAUGUGUUCCAAGCAAAGGAAAUUAGUAGGCAACUUAGAGAAGCAAAAAGCAACUUGCAAUGUACAGGAACUCUCAGCAGUUGAGUGUGAAUAAUAAAUGAAGCAUAGGGCAUGAAGUAGCCAGAGAGUCAGCAAUAAAAUUUAUAGAUUAAAUUGCAUGUGUGCCUACUAUAUGGAAGACUGGUAAGAACCUUAAAGACAAUCAUUUAAUUCUAACAACUGAGGUAAGCACCGUUAGGAUCCUCAUUUUCCGGAUGAAGAAAAUGAGGCUCAGAAAGGCAAGUAACUCAUACAAGUUCUCACAGCUAACAGCUGUCUGAGUUGACAUUUGAACUUCAGGGUCUCAGAAAACGAUACCCCAAAAUGAAGUCCUCAGAAGCAUCUUUCUUGCUUCUCUUACCCUCUUGCUCUGGCCUUCAUUUUCCCCUGAAGUAGCCAUAGAAACUAGAAUUCCUCUUCCCUAAGCUGGGCCAUAGAAGUCAGAACCCCUUUUCCCCAGAACCAGCCAUAAAACCUAAAAUUAUUACUCUAAUUCCCCACCACCACCCACCUCUUCCUUUGUGUGUAAAAACUGUCUAUAAAGAAAUUAUCUGAUUCUACCCCCUUUAUCAUUUUUUAUUGCAUCUAUUUGAUUCUUCUCUCUUUUCUUCUUUAUUAGUCUUGCUAG
RNAcentral lists this long non-coding RNA (3348 nucleotides) under Homo sapiens (human). RNAcentral's name for it is "HSALNT0281952". The record is from RNAcentral. Lineage: Eukaryota; Metazoa; Chordata; Mammalia; Primates; Hominidae.